UUUGUCGGAAGGAAAAAACCCCUCCUCUUACAUAAGCAUCCCACACAUUUGUAGACCACACUUAUUGUCAGACCCCGCUCGUUGCAGCGAGGAUCCGAGAGGUAGAUCUAGAUCGAACUGAGGAAGAGAGGGGGAGGAAGCGUCUCCGGCAGGAAAUCAGAGGAGAUGGGUUCGAGUUGUAUUAUGAGUUUAGAUAUUUUGUUUGAUAUAGACUCCGACUCCAGACUUUCUACUUAUCUGAUACAGAGGAGUUCUUUACUUCACAGGCCGCACAGGCCCACUCUGGCCCAGCCAGGCGCACAUUGGGAGUCUUGGUCCUUCUUCCUUUCUUGGGCGUGGGAGAUGUUGAAGGGUCUCCUGGAUAAGGCUCACUGACACCCCCCCUCCUUGGGUACCGGCCUGUCCCCAGGCCGGAGCAGCAUGGAAGUACUGCAUGAUGUAGUCAGCGUCUUCCCAUGUGGCCAAAUCAUCACCCAGUCCCGACCAUCUGAUGAGGAGUUGUUGUACCGAAGUGUUGCCGCGCUGGUGUAGGCGGCGUUGCAGUACCCGCUCAGGAAUCUGGAGACCAUCAUCGGUGUCUGGAAGGUCGGUUGAAACAACGACCGAAGCUGGAGGAGCUGGCUUGAGUAGGGACACAUGGAAGACGGGUGGAUGGAAGACGAUGCAGGAAGCUGAAGCUUGUAGGCAACGGAGCCAAUCUUUGAGAUAAUUUUGAAUGGUCCGAAGUACUUGAAGCACAGCUUGUGGUGAGAGCGCGGAGCCAGUGAAGACUGUACAUAAGGCUGUAGUCGAAGAUACACACUGUCGCCGACCUCGAAGGAGCGCUCGGAGCGGUUCUUGUCGGCUUGAGACUUCAUUCGCUGUUGAGCUCGGAGCAGAUGUUGUCGAAUAGCAGCUAGCAUAGUUUCACGUUUCUCGAGCAUGGAUUCCACAUCCCGCACACAGGAACAAACAACAUUAGUAAUACCAAAAUGUCGAGGGGGAUGGCCGUAUAGUACCUUAACGGGGGAACGGCCCAGAGCCGAGUGGAAGCUGAAGUUGUACCAAAAUUCUGCUAGAGAGAUCCAACGUAAGCACUGUUUCGGGCAAGAAUGAACGAAGCAGCGGAGGAAAGUUUUCAAGCACUGGUUCACACGUUCUGUUUGGCCAUCUGAUUACGGAUGGUAGGCUGAACUCACGCACAACUGAACUUGAGCAAGGCAAAACAGUUCCUUCCAGAAAGCACUUGUGAAAUUUGGGUCACGAUCAGAGAUAAUAUGUGUAGGCAGACCAUGUAAGCGAAUGAUAGAGUCCAGGAAUGACUGAGCCACCUUCUGAGCCGUGAAAGGAUGGAGUAAAGGCACGAAGUGGGCAAACUUACUGAACUUGUCGACGACUACCAUAAUGCAGUUUGUAGAGCCUGAGGUAGAGAGUCCCUCAAUGAAAUCCAUGCUGACCACCUGCAAAGAUUCAGUUGGCACCGACAAUGGGGACAACAGCCCUGGGUACUUAAUAACACGGUCUGGUUUGGCCUGAAGACAGAUAGUGCAUGCAGCGACAUAUGCUUGGACAGCAGUCUUCAUUCCCCGCCAUGCAAACAAUUUCUUAACACGGCUAUAAGUCACUGGAAAACCAGAAUGACCUCCCAGGGCACUGUCAUGGAGGGCCGAGAUAACCUUUUGCUGCAAGGUUGGUGUGUUGCUCAGCCAAAUGCGGCCUUUGUAGCGGAUCAAACCCCUUGACAGUGUAUAUGGAGGCUGUGCUUGCGGGUUGAGGGCGAGCUUUUGAAGAAGAGCAGCAGCUGAAGGGUCGUUAUCAUAACCAGCAAGCACUUCAGACACCCAUGCGGGCUGCAGCGAUGAGACAGCCUGCAACUGCGAAGGGGGAGUUGGGUGGUGUGAGAGGGCGUCGGCUGCCAAAUUUGUGGAUCCUGGUUUGUAGACCACCUUGUACUGCAGACCAGCUAACUUGGAAUACAUCUUAAGCUGCCAAGGAGUGUGAAGCCUUUGAUCUGUGAUAUGUGUAAGGCUGCGCUGAUCAAUGAAUAUGACAAACUCGAUGUGCAGAAGGUAGGAUCACCACUGGUCAAUUGCCACUAAGAUUGCCAAGUAUUCCUUGUCAUAAGUUGAUAGCCCACGAGUUUGGGGUCCCAGUGCUUUACUGACGAAUGCCUGGGGAUGACCCUCUUGUAAUAGAACAACACCAACACCCAUGUCGCUUGCAUCUGUCUGGAUUUGGAACUGUUUGCUAAAAUUGGGCAAGGGUAGAACUGGUGCUAUCACUAAAGCUUCCUUGAUGGCGGAGAAUGCAGAAGAGUGAACAGAAGUCCAGACAAACAAAGUACCCUUCUUGACCAAGUCAUUGAGAGGCCGCUCCAGGAUGGUGAAGUUACGGACAAACUUCCUAUAGUAGCCUGCAAGACCCAAAAAACUGCGAAGUUGCUUGACAUCUAUUGGCUGGGGCCACUGCUGGACUGCAACAAUUUUUGAAGGAUCAGUACUAACUCCCUUUGCACUGACCACAUGGCCGAGAUAAGCUAUAGAUUCCUGGGCAAACCUACACUUGCUCAACUUAACUAGCCACUGGUCUUUGGACAACAAUUCAAACACCAGACGUAAAUUUAUCAAGUGUUGCUCAAGGGUGGGACUGUACACCAAUAUGUCAUCAAAGAAGACAAUGACACAAAUGUGGAGACAAGGCUUCAAAGUGGAAUUCAUCGCCCCUUGGAAGGUGUUGGGAGCGCCCGUGAGGCCAAAGGACAUAAUAGUGUACUCGAAAUGGCCCCAAUGAGUUUCGAAGGCAGUCUUGUAUUCUUCCCCUGGGGUGAGGCGGAUGUGGUUGAAUCCAGCGCAGAGGUCCAAGCAAGAGUACCAGCGAGCAGAGGACAGCUCAUCAAGCAACUCAUCGAUGACAGAAAUUGGAAAUUUGCUCUUAACGGUCAAGGCGUUUAGCAUUCUGUAAUCAACACACAUGCGCCAGGAGUUGUCCUUAUUGCGAACCAGAAGCAUAGGGGAAGAAAAUGGGCUUGUGCUCGGCUGAAUCAUCCUAGUUUGGAGCAUGUCUGACACUUGUUGCUCAAUCUCUAAUUUUAGCUUAGGAGAGUACCGAUACUAGCGGACUGACACUGUCUGUGCGCCUUGUACAUGAGGAAUCGAGUGGUCACACGGUCUUCUCGGAGGAAGAGAUGUUGGCUCCUGAAAGAGGUGGUGGAACUCAUCAAUGAGGGCUUGGACCGCUGGUAAGAGUCUUGGUUGUUGGUCAGAAGACGGCUCAGAGGAUAUGCUGAACAAUUGGAGCGAAGAGCAAACAAACUCAGAGGGAAAGGGACCAUGCAGAAGAAUGAUCCUGUGUCAUAAGGAAUAAGCAUCCACUUGUCCUUCCAAUGCACUUUCAUGGGAGAAAAUGCCGCUAGCCAAUCCAUGCCCAGGAUGAUGUCAUAGGAACCCAGCUAAAUAAUUCUAAGUGUAGAGUGGAAGCUAUGGCCUUGAAUUUCCCACUCAGCAUUGGAUAACUCAGCGGAACAGGUGAUGCAACUGCCAUCAGCAACACGAACGACCAUGGGGACCGGUAAGGGUACUGCACCUGUGAGAGAAGACGCCAUUGAACUGCUGACAGAAGAGUGACUACUCCAAGAAUCCACAAGAAUAAGAACACCUUUGCCAGCGAGAGAGCCAGAGAACUGCAUAGUGAGUGGAGCCAAAUUACCCAAAAUCGCUACAGCAGACAGAGCCAUGAAGAAUUGGCCUUGAGUUUCAGAAUAUUGAGGGUCCGAAGCAGACUGUUCAGUAGCAGGGUCAUCAAUUGGAAGUUCAAAUUCUGCCUGACAAAGUUCCCAGUCCUCCUGUAACGCAUGCAACUGGGGUGUAGGAGCACAACGAUGACCGGGCACCCAUUUGUCCGCACAGCAAAUGCACAGGCCCCGUGCCCUUCUAAAGGAUUUCAAAGGAGCAAACCUGUCUUCAGUGGAGACAGACUUGGGUGCUGGUAUCUUGUCUUCUGCGGUAGACCUCUCCGCUGAAGAUUUGGUUGGGGGAGGGGGCACGGGUAAGGCGCCACGGCCACCCAUAGUCUUGUGGAAAGAAAGAGAGUCCAAACGUCAUGCUCCCGUGCGCUGGACAGGUUCCGCCGCCUCUUCCUACAGUAAUGCCAGGGUACAAGCAGUAUCCAAAUUUGGUGGACGAGCAACUAAAAUGACUGAAAGAAUAUAGGCACGAAGGCCAUCAAUGAAUCUAGUGGUAAAGGAUAGAGUAUGUGGGUUACGGUUGUAGGACUUGAGCUGGUCAACCAGUUCUGUGAACUAAUCGACAUAUUCUUUAACUGAGGUAGAUUGGCGAAUGUUGAAGAGCUGGCACAAGAGAAACUCAUGCUGAUCACGGCUGAAACGCUCGUGGAUCAUGCUGUAGAAGGAGGGCCAAUCGGUUGUCGCCAAAAGGUGCUCUACUGAUUGGAGCCAGCGUUUCGCAGCGCCGGUAAAAUGCAUGGUGGCUACCUUAACCCACAUGGAUGGUUCGACCUCGUACAUGUCAAAGUAAUUGGUAGCGCAAGUCGUCCAGAACUGGGCGUGCUCACCAUCGAAUUGAGGAAAAUUAAGCUUAGGGAGGCGGCCCAAUUGGUUAGGAUGGAAGGCGUUGGUGGUGACGGCGGUAUUGGGGGAGGUGUAUAGGGGAAUUUUGGGGAAGGAAAUGGGCAGUAGGCUGGUAGGUAUGGGAUGGUGGAGGUUUUGAGUGGUGGUGGCCAUAUUGGUUUGGAGGAUCAGGUGGAUGGGAGUAAUAGUAGGGAAUGGGUUGGGAAGGGGGAAAUUGGGACGGUUGAGGAAGUGGAUUCAUGUGUGGGAACAAGGAGGGGGAAGGGCGGAGGGACCUACCAUGAAUCGGGGGGGUGGGCUAUGGUCAUUACCGACCCGUAGCCCUGCUCGCAGUGCCCCUUGGGCCAGUCAACCUUUCCUCCAACAGGUGGGCGCGCGGAGGCCGGCUCAAUGAAGGUGACGGCGCCUGGAUGACCCGUGUUCUCCGCCGCGGGACGAGGGGCGCUCCUGGGAAUCUGGCUUAGCUCGACGCGAACGUCUUGGAGCGAAGCCUCAACCCACGGGCGCCAUUUGUUGAACACCUCGGUUGCACUCUCCAAGGCAGCGACGCGGUCGUCUCUUUUGUCGCGGAUCUCCAUGAACCAGAUGAGCUCGAUGUCGUCCGCUCGCUGCUCCAGUUCCCCAAGGCACCACUCAACCGAGCGCCCCCAGUCGUCCGCCACCACGUUUUGCUCCGACUGGUCCGAGCAGAACGUCUCAAGGGAGGACAAACGGGUCCGGGUCGCAGGCAUGCCGGAGCAGAUGUCCUCUAGGGCGAUGAUGCGGCGAUCUACCUCGGCAGCAUGCUCCUUGGUCGAAGCCUCCGCUCCAGCGAACUUGGCUUCCCACUUGGCGUCGAAGGAAUCGAACUGCUUCAAAACCUCCUCGAAGGCAGACUUCACGGUAGGAUCUAUAACUCCGCGAGCACGUUGAAGGCGGGUGUAGUGCUCGUGCGCGCCGGCUGGAUCCAGCACCCUCAACCGAGAUCAUCACUGCUUUGAUACCGGAUGUCAGACCCCGCUCGAUGCAGCGAGGAUCCGAGAGGUAGAUCUGGAUCGAACUGAGGAAGAGUGGGGGAGGAAGCGUCUCCGGCAGGGAACCGGAGGAGAUGAGUUCGAGUUGUAUUCUAAGUUCAGAUAUUUUGUUUGAUACAGACUCCGACUCCAGACUCCCUACUUAUCUGAUACAGAGGAGUUCUUUACUUCACAGGCCGCAUAGGCCCACUCUGGCCCAGCCAGGCGCACAUUGGAAGUUUUGGUCCUUCUUCUUUUCUUGGGCUUGGGAGAUGCUGAAGGGUCUCCUGGAUGAGGCUCACUGCACUUAUGAUCACAGUAAAAUUACGCUAGGAUCGGUCUUUACAAAGCGCCCGUAAUACACCACUGCUUCUUGGCUCCCUUGCUGCGGCUCGCGCGACCUGUGAUACCUGCAAACACAGAAGAGGCAAACUGUACUCUCUUGGUGAAGGUCGUGCUCCGCAGCAAGGAGCAGUUAAAUGGUGCAGCGAAUGGUGAGGCUGUCACACCCCAAAAUUCAUGUUUUGGGAUGUGACUAGAAAAAUACUAAAAACAAAAUAUUUUUUUUACUAUUUUUUUUAAAAGUUUCACAACUUUAGUUAAGUUGUUGACAUUUUACAUAGUGGAAAAAUAUGGAUUUCUAAAAUUUUAAUAAACUAAUUUAGUGGUUUAUUGUAUUCAUGCUAUUGCAUAAUGUUUAUGUUUGAAAAAUAAAUUUAAUUGUUUUCAAGAUACGCUUAGGGUUUGAUCCCAAGCUCAUCUUUCCAAACAUCAUGUCCAAUCUCUAAAACUCUAAUCAAGUCAAGCUUCCAUAAAAUCCUAGUCAUAAAAUCCUAACUACUCAUGUCUUGAUGUCCUUUGCAACCUAGCUUCUUGUGCAACCUAUGCAACCACCAAUUAAGGUCACAAGAUCUAGAUCUAACGUCUGAGGUUUUUUCACUUAAAUCCUCCCAUGUGGAUACACACGGGUUAGAUUUAAACCCACAGGUGGAGGGAUUUAAGUGAAAAAACCUCAGACGUUGGAUCUAGAUCCUAUGGUCUUAAUUGGUGGUUGCAUAGAUUGCACACGAAGCUGGGUUGCAUAUGAUACAUUGCCUUUCUCUUCCAUUCUUUUAUGGAACUCAAAAUCAAUCUCAAUCGAGUGUGAACUUCUCUCUUCUUUCUUUUUCUACGUUGUUUUGUUUUCUAACCCAAGUUCAUCUCAAUCAAUUUGGGUUACCUGAAUAUAUUAUUACUAUUGAAUAUGCAUCUUUAUAUUUAUACGUACCUUAAUCAUUAUAAAAAGUAAACAAAAAUCUCUGAAAUCUACAUAUAAAUAGUAAUAUAUAUUAUUAAUAAAUAAAUCAUUAUCCAUAAGGUAUGAUAUAUAUAAUAUAUAUAUUAUAUAAAUGAUUGAUUACUUUACGAGGAAGGGCAUGAUGUCAUCUUUAACCAUGAAGGACGUGGCCUGGUCGAUUGCUCCUUUUGAAUGUAAAUAUGUGUCGUCACGUCAACCAAAAGGCCAUCAAAUUAAUUUAGAAAAUUUAGAAACCACUUUUUCAUUUAAAUUUACAUAAACUUAAACUAAACUUGGUAAAUUUUAUACAAAUAUUACAUCCAUUUAUUUUGUUUAGUGUUUUCAAUGCACAACUCAAAAUCAAAAAUUUUGGGGUGUGACAGUGUGACUUAUAUGCUUCAAACAGAGAGGAUGCUCUUUGCUGCCUAGUACCAGUUAAGGGCUCUAGUAAAACUCAUCUCACACAAAACUGUAAAUUUAAGGUUUUGUCCAUUGUUAAGUUGUGGCUGAGUGUUGCUAUUGUUCUAGAUGGAUGUUCAACUUAACAGUCUCCAUCGUAACUCUGGUAUAUGAAAGGAAUGUGAUAUUGAGUGUGGUUUGUAUCGAACCCUAGAGUUUGGUGGGGAUUGUUAGAUGUUUUAUGGGCUUGGCUUAUUAAAUAUUUAAUGAAUCAAGUAAACUCUACGGUCCGGUUAAUGUCUAUUAAAUGGUUUAGUACCGUAUGGGUUUUUAACGGAGGGUUAGCUCAACUUAAAUGAUAGAUCUGUGAUUGCUUACAUUGAGAAGUUGAGAAAAGAAUAGUUGAGUGCCACACGCGCGGUGUGGCGUGGCGUGGCGAGGCGAGGUAGGCAGGCGGCGGCAAGCUAGCGGACGGGCGGGCGAGCCUUAAUUUUGCCACUUAGCUCCAUUGAUGGAUGGAGUUGCAACUAGUGCUAAUUAUGGCUGGAGUUGCAACUAGUGGCAAUGAUGAGAGGAGUUUUUCCUGAACCGUUCACUUCCGUUGUCACUUCCUGUAACACCCUAAAAUUUUCUCCUUUUGAUAUAGAGUUAAAAUUAUCUAAUUAUACAUUUUUUUUGUGCUGAUAAAAAUAUAGAAAAAUAAUAUUUUUCAUUAAAUUAAAAAUUAUCAUAAGGUUUAGCAAUAUUGUUGUGCAUACAUGCUGGUGCAUAAGGUUUGAUGUAAUGUUUGAUUGUUUCUCCUUUGCUGUUGACAGUGAGAGAAAUAUUUAAAAUACGUUUAUUAGAUCGAUCUUUUUUCUUCGGCAUAUAUUUAUCUUUUUCUACAAUCAAAUCUCUUGUCUCUCAACUCAAGAUUUCAUUUAGAGUCUCUCAAAAUCUUUUCUUUCAUACCUCGUCACUCCUUUCAAAGCAAUCUCUACAAACUUCUCGAAAAUUUUUCCGGCCUUUUUCCGUGAGCAUAAUCUAAUUCUUAGAUAUUUCAAAUUAUCUUAUCAUGAUCUCCAAAUACUUUAUUUAGGUUUCUCAUGUUACAUAUAAUAUCUCUGAAAAUUUGCUUCGAAUUUUUAGAGCUUUCGAAGUAUUUUCCGCGGCUAAAUAGUAAUUCUAGAUUCUCUAGAAUAAUUAUUUUUAGCCAUGAAAUUAAAUAUUCCAAAAAUAAUAAAUUGUAAACCUAGUCAAACUUGAUCCAAACCGAGCGUGUAUAUAUAUACGUCAUGUUCAUCUAGGGUAUGGAUCUCUUUCAGCAUCACGUCCUGUCUUUGGGAAACCGCCGCCCACGCCGAGGCCAACGCCUACGUCUUCGGCGUUACCCCUGCAGUUGAUCCGGUUGCCCUCUCCGGUGGAACCCCUACGCGCUUACUACGCCGUGCCGAGCCGGCUGCAGCUGGGGAGUGAUGGCGAUGCACAAGUAGAAGACGAUCGAUCUGGAGCAGGGGUGGGAGUUCUUGCAGAAGAGCACCGCCAAAGCAAGAACAUCCUGAGGGCAAGCUCGAGCCGCAGUUCAGCUUUGAGGACUACGUGAUGCUCUACACGACGAUUUAGGAUCGGUGCAUCCAUAAGCCGCAGCAUGACUGUACCAUGAAUCAUUCGAAGAGCACCAUGCCAUGGACGGGCUCUCCUAGUCUUUGGUAAACGCCAUCUAGGUGAGUUCGUCGAGAGAUUUCUCUACAAUUCCAUGCACUUCCCGUCCAAAACCGAGUAUCGUUGUCAUCGAAGGCCGACGAGUUCUCGGUCGCCAGGCAAGGAAGCUUCCUCGUGCGCUCAUUGUUAGCUCCAUGAUGUCAUGAUGAUGCGGUGAUGACGUGUAUGAAUUUUGUUGCCGUUUUUCUUUAGAAAAACAAAUCUAGAAAUACAAAGAAAAUACACUAGUUUGUUUAGGCCAUAUCUUCUUCGUUUGAACACCGUUUUAUUCCAUUCAAACUGCUUUAGGUUCAUAAUCAUGAGCUCUACAUGUUAGUAAAAUUAUUUACUCAGUUUGAAACUUUUUAUGUUCGUGACCCUAAUUAAUUAAUUACUUUUCUAUAUAAAAUCUUAGAAAAUUCAUAACUCCUCCGUUUUAAUUCCGAUUUUCGCGAUCUUUACGUCUAUGAAAUCGUAGCGAUGCGUAGAAUCAUUUUAUAAACUUUUCAUACUGUUUUUAUAUGAUUGGUGUACUGUUCUAAUUGUAGCCUUGUUUGCUUCGUGUAUGUUUUUUCCGAUUGUUUGUGUGAUCGAUGAUCGAGUUUAGACGGAGAGCAGUUUUGGUGAUCAAGAUCAAAACUUUGGCAACAAGUAAGACCAGCAGAACCAAAAGGAUAAGCAAGAGCAUUUGGAUCAAGGCAAAUAUAGCAUUUGGGUUUUAUAUUCUGUGACCAUGAUCCUAUGACUAGAUUAAUAUUAAGUAAUAAAUGAUAAAAAUGACUUUUUAGCAACUUGAUGAUUUGUCUGUAAGUGAUAACCGAGACAACAGUGCAACCAUGAGGGCUAUAAUGGCUCUGGCUUUAGCUCAGUAUGAAGACCCUUUUCUAGCUUGUUAGAGGUUACCCGAAAGGGUGGAGGGGCUGAACCGUUUUGGGUAUAGUGUGGCCUCUGUCUGUAUGUGUAUAGGCUGCGAGUCAUUGUGCCAUCGGAAGGGGGGCUCUAUAUCUGCGCGCAAAGAAAACCUUGCGGCCCUGUUAGACGAACUUUUGAAAGGCUUCAUAGUGAUCCCUGCCGACCUUCCUUGGUAGUGGGUUAAGAGGCUGAUCACCUCGGGCGAAAGGGUAAAUCAUGACUCAUGGGUAAAGAUGUACAACCUCUGCAGAGUGUUAAAAACUGGUAUACUAGCCGUGCUUACGGUCAAGAGCGGCCUUGGGGAUUCUUGCAUCAACGGUGAUGAUUCUUGUGUGUUAAAUAUGCUCAUUAUUUAUUAUUUAAUGCUUUACAUUAUUUAUGUCACAUUGAUCAUGAGAUUGUGGGAUCUAUACAAUCUAGUUGCUAUACUUGUGGAGUUCGACAUGGACUCACUCUUGCUAUUUCCCCCAAACCUCAUGAGAAGUUUAGGCUUGUGAUCAACCAGUCAGUUGGAUCCUGUAGAGUGAAGUUAAUACCCGAAGUUUGGAGUAUCUUCCGUUGUUUGCUGCCUAAGGUUAUCUCUGAUUUAUUAUGUACGUUAUAUAAUUUAUGCAUUGUCUUUUGAUAUUACCUCUUAUUUGUAGCUAUAUGUGAGAUUUGACUUAUAAGACUCACAUAUGGUGCAUAUCUGGUUUUGUCCUUAAAAUCGGGUAUUACACUUCCUCUCCGUGGCGCCUGGGACUCUGUCCCUUGAUCUCUCUUCUCCAUCAUCUAUAAAUUGAGAGCCUCUCCCUCUAAUCUAGACUUGAGAACAACACAUCACAUCCAGCAGCCUCUGAGUUUCCCUGUUCCAUCUCUUGCGAGCACUCGAGAUGGAAGAGUAGGCCUCCGGAAUGUCUUCGUCCAUCGGGCUCACCUGCUCGGGUGAGGACGGAAAUCAUGUUUUUGGGGAGUGUCCGGCAGCGGCACGACUACUCGCUUCGUCCCCUCCCUAUUUCCGGCGGGUGCAAGGUUCUCACGACACGCAGGGAUCUCCACUGCUUCCUAGCUGCACUGUAUUGAUCGGGACGACUACAUCAGCAAAAGCACCAUGUCGCUCGCUAGUGCUUCCGGCUCUGCCGUAGGGUAUGAAAUCUUUAAACAUCCUCUUAUUUUGUUGAUCAAAAUAUUACCGGUUAGCGUUGUUUGGACGACGAUCAUGCUCUAUCUAUACAAUAAGAUGCAUGAUAUUAUUUUGUUUAUUGCUAUAAUUAUUUCCAUGAUUAUUAGUCUAAAUAAGCACAUAUUUGAUAUACUGUGUAAGUCUUAUUUUUGGAAUAAAUUAAACAUGAUUUUGCCUGUAUUUAUAUACGGCCCAGAUUCUAAUUCUAACGCAUGCUUAAGGUAUUCAUCACAUCAUGCUCUGUUUAAGCUUAAAAUUGGUGAUCUCAAACAGCGCCUUGUGCUUUGUUGAGUUCCAUUUGAACGCUGGGUCUGCUAGGCUUAAAGCCAACAUUUGUUGCAAGAAAAUUGGACUAUUCGUAUUAUUAUACAUACAACAUCCAUUAAAAAAUUAUGCCACCCGUACAUAUACAUAGGCCUUGUUUAGUUCGCAAAAAUUUUCAAGAUCCUCUGUCACAUUGAAUCUUUAUUCGCAUGCAUAGAGCAUUAAAUAUAGAUGAAAAUAAAAAUUAAUUACACAAUUUACCUGUAAUUUGUGAGAUGAAUCUUUUGAGCCUAGUUACUCUGUAAUUAGACAAUGUUUGUCAAAUAAAAAUAAAAGUGCUAGAGUAGCCAAAAACCAAAAAAAUUGCAAACUAAACAAGGCCAUAAUAAAAUAAAAUUAAAAUCAAAUGAAAUCUCGAUGCUUUAGCUUUACAUUGCAGGGCCGCUAACAAGGUCAAACAUUUCGUAUGUUGCACUGAAUACGACAGAAAUAGUGAUGUAUUGUUUGCAAAGCAAGUGAUGGACUUCUACCAGCGGGGCAUGUUAAUUAAUUUCGCUUAGUUGCUACACAUCGCUACCUCCUCUGGUGAUUGAGCUUCAUGAUGGCGAAGCCGAAUAGGAGAGCAAAGAAGAUGGCGAAUGCCACGACCACCACGGCCACCACGCCCAACCAGCUGUGCUUGAAGCCGAAGUACUUCUCCACGAACACAUUCACGGGGACACCGUUGUCCAUGGGUGUCGUGAUGUCCCCAAACUGAGACACAACCAGCCCAUACAGCGUCCAUGCCACAGGGCAUGCCCAACAGUACCAAUUCCACCAGAUGGGGACUUUCUGAGCAUGUUGCCAUACCAAAAAGGGCUAUGAGUUUCACAAUUAGCGACAACAUUUUACAUUUGUGUAGACAUGGGCAAUUGAUGGAGAUGGAGCAAUAUAUAAUGACACUUACGGGGCGAGGGAUGAUGAAUCCAGAGAAGAGGUUCCAGAUGUUAUAGAAUGCCGAGGAGACGAUUGACGCGACAGGGUAGCUCGGUGUCAAGCCCACAGCCAUCAUGCCAUAGAACGUGAAGUAGAGGAAGGUGAAGUACAUGAAGAAGAGGUACCAAAAGAAUUUGGCAACUGUCCAUUUGAACCCGAUCAUCGAGUACACUAUGACCCCAUAUAUGGUGGCCUGAGCCAGAGUGUAUGGGAGUUCAAUCGAAACCUAUAUACAGCAGAAGUUUUAGUGAUAUCAUUAUUAGUGGCCUCUCAUUCAUAGAAGGUAUGUACUAUAUAUCAGGAGAUUAUAUGAGAGCCGUUCGAUCACCUGUCCAAAUGCAUAUGGCAAAGCCGAGUACAUGCCGGCAGCUCUUUCACGGUAAAACACAGUCCGCUCCACAAAGACUACUGGCUGGAUAGAUUUAGCAUUCAAGAUGCCAAUGAACAUCACUGCAGCAUACAUGGACCCCAUGGUGUUGAGCAAAUCUUGUGAUUGGCUCCUGGUAGGUACAGAAUCAUAAGCUUCAGAUUCUUUUUUUUCUUUUUGAGAUGUUCACACACUAGACAGGUGCAAUGUAACAGAUGGAAGUUACUUACAUUUUACCACCAAGGUCCCAGAAGACAGUGCCGGAGAUAAGCGCUAUGAUAGUUGUGAAAAAUAGCCUAAUGGCAUUGUAAGCAGGGUUCCUCCAAUAUGACAGGUUUUGCUUCCACAAGCAAGCCACGCAUUGCAUGAAGAAAGACUGCGAGUAUUGGUUACGGAAAUGAAGGUCACUUGAGCCUGCUGAUGGUUCGCUUAACUUUUGUAUCAAGGCCUUGUUCCUCCUGAAGAAUGUAAUAACAUUAGAAUCAUCAUGUUUAUCAUGGUGUAGCAAUGAUGCGGAAAGAAGAAAAUUCGAGGAUAGUAGACACUGGUUAUGAACUUAUAAUAUGUACCAGUUCAAAGUUUUACGUUCACUAUGAUAGCAAAGUUAAAGAAAAUCUCCAAGAUGCAAAAUGACUCGAAUAUUUUCCUUGCUAAUAAUAACAGUAACAAUCUUACACUUGUAUAAGACAUGUAGUAGUUACUUGAGAAAAGUAUAGGUGCAAAAAAAACAUACAUACGUAGUCAUCAAAAUGGUGACUCUAUUGAACAAAUAAGACAAGUAUGGUGCGUGUAUGUCCCUUUGUACUGUGAUUCGCAAAAUGACGAAAGUAUAUAUUUUUUUAAUUUAUUCAAAAUUAAAUUCAGAAUCCCAUAUAAGAACUCUGACUUCUAGCUCCAAACUUUAACAUUUUAAACUUUAACACAAAAAAUCCAAUUAGAUUAAAUUGCUCUACCGCUAGUCGUGAGUUACACUAGUUAGACCAAUGAAGUCUGAGAAUCAUGAAAUCCCCGUCACCAGUCCAUGUUCAAAUGCUUUUUCCAUCAAGUGAAUUAGAUCACAUGUUACUGUUACAGCACUGCUAUUUGUUACAAGCUGCAAUUUUUUCAAGGGAACAAACUAGAAGCUAAAGUUUCAGUACUGACUACAAAGAAUUUGUAAGUUCAGAGGGUAUUUAAAUGGCACAAUAAUUACAGUGUAGAUUGGACCCUAUAUUUUAAGGGUUAAUAAAGACUUACAACAUAGAUUUUGCUCAUCCGGGCUGCUAGUGGUGUAGUCUAAACCAAAGACCACCUAGGGACAAUAGGAAAUUCUGGAAAUGAAGUGAAUAGGAGGGUUGCAAGUUACUCACUGGUAUAAUUCAGAUUUCUUGUACAUGUCACUAAAGUCAACACCUAGUAUCUGUUCUUGCGAGAUUGUCGUUACUUCCAACAUCCAUGUCGCAGGAUUGUAGCCAUUUUUAAUUUUCUUGACUCCGUCAAUUCCCUAGAAAAUAUGAGCAAUACAAUGUAGUCAGUAAAUUGAAGCAAUAAAGUCGAGCAAUUUUUUUAAUAUUCAUGUAAUAUCACAACACCUCAAAAUACUUAAUCAGCUCAGAAGAAUGAUGGCCUAGUGGACCAACAUAGAUCUCCUCUCCUCCUGGCUUCAUAAGGAAAAGCUACAACAAUUCAUCAAAUACCUUAGACUUUGCAACAUUGUUUCAUAUCAUAUUUAUAAGACUAACCAUAGUCAACUAAAUUUCAAAAUCAGCCUAGUUAUGCAGAUGCAAAGUAAUGGUGGUAAGAAGAAAUCACUAGAAAGUACUCCCUCCAUCCUAAACUGUAUGUCAUUCCAAAAAUCUUGGAGAGUCAAAGCAUCUCAAGUUUGACCAAAAUUAUAGAAAAAAUUACAAAGUUUUGUGAAACCAAAUAGAUAUAGUAUGAAAAUAUAACUAAUGAAGAACCUAAUAAUACUUAGUUGAUAUCAUAAAUGUUAUUAUCCUACCAUAUAAAUUUAGACAAACUGAGGUUCUUUGACUCUCUAAGAUUCUUGAAAUAUCUUACAAUUUAUGAUGGAGGGAGUACAAAGAUCCACAAUAAACUCACCUCAUCGAAUGCUUCAAAUAUAUCAAUGCUAGGCUGAUGAAUCGUGCAGACUAUAGUUCUACCUGUAUCAACAGUAUUCCUCACUGUCCUCAUAACAAUUGCAGCUGCUCGGGCAUCAAGACCAGAGGUUGGCUCAUCCAUGAAAAUGAUUGAUGGAUUUGCAACCAGCUCCACAGCAAUGGUCAAUCUUUUCCUCUGUUCAGUUGACAGACCAUUCACACCAGGAAGUCCAACCAAAGCAUUUCUCAAUGGUUUGAGCUCCACAAGCUCCAUGACCUCCUCAAUGAACACCUGCAUGCAUAAAGGUAAGCAAUGUUGUCUAAUAUAUCAAGUCUAGAUAGAGGUUAGAAGUUGAAUCUAUUCUGUUUGGCUGACCUUUCUGGUGUUUGAAUCUACAUCUUUAGGAAGGCGGAGCCAUGCUGAGAAAACAAGUGACUCAUAGACUGUCACCUGCGGCGAGUGGAUAUCAUUCUGCUCACAGUAUCCUGAUACACGUGCAAAGGUCUCUUGCUUCUUUGGGUAUCCAGAAAUGCUAAUGUUUCCUUCAAUGUAACCACUGGUCUUUCUCCCAGCCAGUACAUCCAUUAGUGUUGUCUUGCCAGCACCACUAGCACCCAUCAGUGCGGUCAGCACUCCUGGUUUGAAAGAUCCACUGAUACCUUUGAGGAGCUCUAACCGGUCUCCGACUACUCCAAGUGUUUUCAUCUCCUGAAUGAGUUUCAUCAAAAGAUUAUUGUCUAAUUAUUAAUUCCUCAUGGUUGAUGAUUUAUAUAAAUAACUUCAAUAUACUUACCUGGGGCAUGUCAACAAAGUACUUGAUGUUAUUGAAAGUUAGUGAAAGCCGGGCAAACGGAAGAACCAUACCCCUUUGCGUAGUGCCAGAAUGAUUUUCAACAGUUGCUGAACCGGAUCUAGUGAUGCCAACUGUUUCUAAAUGGCUACUUCCUAGUGGCAAGUUGCCCCCAGCCACAACAUUACCACUGAGGUUUGCAUACUUCACCUUCAGUUCCUCUUCAGAUAUCGAUGGAUGGGACUUCCCAUAUGCUGAAACUCAAAAUAAAACCUUCUUAAUUUUAGGUAUUUUCAAAUGCAAAAACCAUGAGCAAACCAAUCCUAGAGGAACUCACGCUUCAGGUAGGCUAGGGCAAGUGUGAAGAGACAAUUGAAAAGCAUGACAAAUCCAAUCAAUGCACCUAAGCCGAUCCAAUACCACUUUGCUUCUGGGAAGACUCCACGGGACUUCAAGGAUUGCACACCUAGGGUUUCAUUGGACAUAGAGCUAUUCAAAAUUUUGUCCCAACUAUGCCCUAGCAUCUCAUUUACUGAGAUGGCAUUCUGGGCAUACAUCAGUGGGGAGAUCCAAUAGCCCCAUAUCCACCACUUCUUCACUUUGUCUGCAAAUUCAAAAAAGAAAGGGGCAGACCUUUUUUUAAAAAAAAAGAGCAAUAAUAAAUAGUACUGCAUAUAGAAAAAAUGGCGAGGUUAUUCUCUUUGUUUUGUUAAAAAAGAAUGGUGAGAGUGUACCUCUUACUAGAAUAAAUCCACCCAACACCAUAAAGCUUAGCAGGAUGAAUCCUCCAAAGACGUUUGCAAUAAUCAUGUUCCUUGCUGCCCCACCAACGAAUCGGAAGAGUGAUGUUGCCAUCUGAUUGAAUGCUAACAAAAGAAGAUACUGCUUGAAGAACCUAGCAUUCCACAAAGCUAGGAUGGUAAGUGAAGGCCUGUGAUGAAUAUUUGGUUAACAAGAUAACCUUAGUCUCUCAUCAAUCUCACCUGCCUACAUUUGGGUCAAACCCAAUGACAUAGUAUGCCAUGAAAACAAACCCACCAACCUCAACAAAAGAGAUUGGGAUCCUAAGGAUCCAUGUGGGUAUGGUGCAGGCCCAUGCUGGAAAGAAGAGGAGAUCUCUUUGCUUGAAGAACACUGGCAGCUUAAUGACAGUGAGUGCAAGCUCAGAAAAUCCAUUGAACAUGAUUGUGAUCACCGUAAAGAAGAGCGCACCGAAGUAGAUACCACCAUCAGUCACUGAGUCAUGGUGCAUCUUAUUACGAAAGAAGAUAGUCAUUCCCAUUAUGGACAUCAUCAUCAGCUGACAUAUCAAAACAAAGUCAGGCAUUGCAGCUAUUGUUCACACCAUCUUACUAUGUUUGAAGUAGAAUUUCUAAUGACCUGCAAAGUUUUGAAGAUGUAGACAAAGGAAUUCCUCUUCAUAAGCAAGAUUUCUCGGUCAAUGUUUGCUUUCAACAGCUCCCAGCUACUAACACCAUAUCUUGAGGUGGUCAGAGAAGAGGGAUGGUUUUUGCACUUGUCGAAAGGAACAACUAGCUCAUUUGCUAUAGCUCUCCCAACAUGGAAAGACUGGAAUGCAGAUGCAAAAUCCUUAACUGACACGUAUUGGUACGGCUUGUCAUGCCGCACCCAGUAUUGCUUUUGAUCUUUCCUGGACGUCACCUGCUCAGCGAGCCCAUGCAUGAAGAUUGUUACAAGAAGCAAAGUAUAUGGUUGACACCAUAUUUCAGAACAAAGAAUGUGUUUGUCUACGUACUUCUUGCAAAAAGUCAGCCACACCCUUCCUCUCAGGACACUUGAACCCAAGAGACGAGAAGAAUUCGAGCACGCUUUCUCGGGGGCCCUGAUACACAAUCUGCCCAUCCGAGAGCAGUAUGAUAUCGUCAAAAAGAUCAUAUGUCUCGGGCGCAGGCUGUAGCAAGGAGAUGAGAGCUGUGCCACCGAGGUUGUGGAUUGCCUGUCUAAGUGACUUAAUGAUCUGGAAUGUAGUGGAGCUGUCAAGCCCAGUCGAAAUUUCAUCCAUGAACAGUGCAUUGGCCGGACCAACAAGCAUCUCGCCUACAGGAUUGUAGCUAGUCACAACAUGUUUUUACUACUCCUAGCUAAUGAUCUGAAUUGAAGUUAAUAUUUUGCUUUUAGAGAACAUGAAGGAGAGAGCCAUAUAUCUAUGUAAGUAAAAGAAAAGUUCAACACAGACUGCUAAAUAAAAAUGAGCAUUAUAAACCUAGAAUAUGAGCUAGUAAAUUAGAAACAAACCACACAAGCUGGAAUUUUUUUAAAGGAAAUGGAGGGGCCGAAGCCCCUACAAAAAUUUAUUAAACUUUCCAAGUUCAAAGUACAAAUAACAAAAACAAAAACAAAAACAAAGAAGCACUUACGGUACAAAAAAAGGAGAGGAAGCAAAAUAAACUGGAAAGGAAAAUUACAAUAAUUUUUGGAUCCAUAAGUCAAAGAUUAUAGAUGGAAGCAUGGUAAACAGAAAGGCAGGUUACCCGUUAUUGAAAUUAUGUCUAUCUCUACCUGUUGUGACACGCUUCCGUUGUCCACCAGAGAUGCCCCUCCACAUCUCAUCUCCCACCAUCGUGUCAGCACAUAUUUCUAAUCCUAAUAUCUGCAAUACCAGAUGUAUGAAUGUUGAAUAAUGAACAAGAUGCAUUAAAAAAAUGAAUAAGAAAACUUUGGUAGCUCGAUCUGAAACCACCAACGGUUGUAAGUCAAAUACCUUCAGUAUAUAGUCACAGAUCACAUUUGCUUCCUGUCCUCGCAUUGAACAAGCCUGAACAAGAUGAGCGAAAAAGGUAAGCUAUUGUCCUUAGCUACUGUGCAAGUUAUCACAAAAAUAGAACCAAAGCCAUAAGAUACUCUUGAUUUAUCUAAGAUUGUAAAUCCAUGCCUUCAUGAAUGCAUCGAUAUCGGUAUCAGGCUUGAUAUUUCCUGCCUUCUCCCGCCUUGAAAGCUCAGCCAACAAAUCUGCCAACAUAAUAACUCAAACUUGGUAAAAUACAUCAAUUAAACAUGCCAAUCCUGCUGAAUCUGCAAGCAGCAGAAAUGAAGGCCAAACCCUUGUGAUUAGUUGUUCAGACUUCAGAGUCAUACCGAAGCGAGUGCCAACACCUUGACAACGUGCAGAGAAUUCAAGCGUCUCUCUAACAGUCAUCUCUCCAAUGUGAAGGUCAUGCUGGCUGAUAUACGCGGCUGUCCUCUCCGGCACAAACUCAUCCAUUUCAUGCCCAUUGUAGGUCACUUUGCCUGAAACCUGCCCAUCAUUUGACCCAAUUAUUACCCAAUGUCGUAUGUACCAAAGGUCACUGUGAACCGUUGUAUUUAUACAUGAAGAAUGGUGCAAUAUUUUAGACGUUGCCCCUCCAAAAAGCUGUCCUAGUUAUUGGCUGAUUAUUUUGUGCUAAGUUGAUGUGUGUGUGCUAAUAAUUUUAAAUCUCUCACUAUAGCUGCCGCUAUAGCCCGCUGUAGUCUUUUGAAGUAAGAUACCACUAUUUGUGUUCAAGUACAAUUUAGCCGCUAUAUUCGGUUAUAGCCCGAUUUAGCUCCGCUAUUAGCUGUUUUAGACAAAGUCGCUAAACACCUUAGCCCCGCUAUUUAAAACCUUAAUUAAUAUGAAAAAGUCUGCAGGAACCUUUAAUUAUGGCCAACUUAACGUGAUUGAUUAUAUAUACUAGAGUGAAUUUACUUUUACAAACCUUGAGGUCUUUAUCGAGCCUCCCGGCCAAGGCGAGCAGCAAGGUUGUUUUCCCUGACCUGGGCGGACCUAACAGCAGAGUCAUUCUACAAAUGGAACGAGCGUCAGGCAAUACCAUGUCCCAUGCCACCAUCCGGCUCGGACUCAAACAGCAACCAAGAUCAGGAACUUCUUGAGAAUUCAUCAAAAGCUAGCUGAUGUUAACCUGCGGGGCUUGACGAUGCCGCUGACGUCGUGCAGGAUAGGAAUCGCCUGCUUCCGGCUGCGGCGCACGUGCAGCGCGUUGGCGACGUCCUCGAGCUUGUUGGUGAUGGAGUUGAGGACGGUGGGGAGUCCGCUGGAGCCGACGCGCACGUCCGCCUCCGCGCUUAGGUGCUCGAACCGCACCUCGAUCGUGGGCAUGUCGAUCCCGACCCUGCACGCGCGCACGGCGGCACGAGCAGCGCAAAUUAAAACGUGAAGCACAACGCACAUCCUAGCCGAGCUGUAUGUAUAGGAGCAUGCACGUGAUGUGUGUGUCCAGUCCACGUCCACUCCAGCAGCACGUACGCACCGUUCGACGCGUUCCUUGAUCUUGAGCAGGAACCGCUCGUUGUCCUCGUCGGCGACGCGCACGAGGCGCUCCAGGAGCGCGCGCCUCUCGCGCGGGCCGAGGCCGAGCACGUCCACCACCUGCGGGGCCGCCUCCCCGCCGCCGUCGCAGUCGCCGCCGCCGAGCGGGAGGAUGGCGCGGUGGAUGCGGUCACAGGUAGGCAGCCUCUCGAGCGCAGCCCACCGCAGCGCCUCCUCGUCGUCCUCCUCCUCCCUCCGCGAAGAGGAGCGCGAGAACGCGUCGUCGGGCGCGCGCCACCACGCGGAGGGGCGGCCCGACCCGGACCCGCCGCUGUUGCCGCGCAUGCUUGUUGCCACCUUCUGGAGCUCCGCCGCCGCGUUCAUACUACCCGCCGCGGCGCUACGCACGCACGCCCGCGGACUGAGCGCCGCAGCCCGAGCAGCCGAUCGAGACACCGUCGUGUGGUUGUUGUGGCGUGGCUUUGCAGCGUUUCCCAGAUGGUUUUGCGGGGUGCGAAUGCGACGACGCCGAGGCUGUUGGGGAGAGAGGAGGAAAGGGUGCGGGGUUUUUGUAGGCAGCGGCAACGGGGAGGGGAGAGUGGCAGACUGGCAGGUACCUGUCGCAUGAUACUUCCUCGGUCCAAAAAAAAAUACAACUCUAACAUGAUGUCAUGCAUGUUUUAGCUUAAUAAGUUUAAUCAAUUAUACAAAGAAAAAAUAUUAAAAUUUAAAGGCAAAUUUUACUGUGGAGCAUUGGAUAUAUACGUGUAAUUGGCCAGUUUACACUGCCACACCGAGAAUUUGCCAAAAGAUACCCCAAAUUCAUGAUUAUUUUUGUCAAAGUUUGGUGGACGUGCUUUCGCCGUCCCUGUUAUUACCGUAUCCGUGUCUCUGUCUGUCAAUCGAUGAUCUGAAGUUCUGAACCACACGCCAGCAUCCGUCCGCGUCCAUCACCCUCGCACCAUUCGUCUCUUCACUUCAUAUUCAUCACAAGUGAUAGGAAGAUAAGAUUCCUAUACUUUGUACCGCGCACAUAAAAGCUAGAUCCUGUAAACAGCGGAAGAGUCACAAGCUACCAUAAUAGCAUAUAAUCAGCGGAACCUAUCAAUAUGCCUAGGAGAUUCCUAUACUUCGUACCUCGGAGAGGCGCCAUAAACAGCGGAACCUCUGUCAAUAUACCUCAACCUACUUCAGCUAUGAAGUUCAAACAUCUAACCCAUUUGCAUUGAUAAGUGCAUACUAUAUAAUAGCUAAGAGUCUAUUUGAGAUACUCCACUAUUGAAAAAAUGAAUUUGAAUCUAAAAUUCAUCAUGAAGUAGCUCCACUAGUGAAUCUGUCAAGGAACUAUCUGGCUACACAGCAACUCCAGAUCCACGCAAGGGCAUUUUCGAUCAAAUAUUCAGAAUUGCUCUUAUCUAUAGUCUUUCUCUCUAUCUCACUGACAUCUGGACCCAUGCAUCAGUAGUGAAAAAAAGCCACGACCUUUUCUUUGCAGAAGAAAAAUUGUAUUGGGUGUGCAGGAACGGCGCUAGCGUGUGUGGAUGGGUAAUUUGUGUAUAAUCUACUACCUCUAUUCCAAAUUACAAAAUGUUGUGGCUUUUCUACAUGUAUUGUUUUUAUUAUGCAUUUAGAUAUACACUAUAUCUAGAUAUAUAGUAAAAGAAAUAUAUCUAGAAAAGCCAAAAUAUCUUAUAAUUUGAGACGGAGAGAGGACGUAUUUUCUUCUUUUCUUUCUUUACUGAAAAAUGGCAAGAUGGCAUCUCGUGUUUUCCAAGGAGCAGAGCAAAGCACGGCUGGGUAUUGCAUGCUCGAUUUGCGCAACAUAGUGCUUGCGCGUGUCUGCGUGGGGAGGUUGCACGGGCACUCACGCUUGGCUCGGCCAUGGGCAGGACCUCGCAGUUGCCAGAGCUCGCGGCAGCGGUGCGAACCGCAGUGGUGUUCGGCUAGAGUUCAGGAAGAGCUCCAAUCCGAAGCCAGUGAGGCCGAUUGAGAGUCCAGGUAGGAGCACGGUGGUGUGCGGCAGUGUUGUGCCGUUCUGAGUGGGCGUGGCCCUAGCUAACGUGUCAUUAGGGCGGUGAGGCAUGCGAGGGCAGGGCCAGGGCCGGUGCUGAGGCAUGGGGACAGGGCUCUUGUUGACAUUGAAUGUGAUCCAAGCCAACACAAUAGUAGGACCUUGGAUGCCUAAAGAGGUCACACACAACCUGCAAUGCAGCAAGAACACAGGGUAAUAGAUCAAACUGAUCUAGAGACCAGUAAAAUCGAUGUAGAGCCCGUUCUUAGCUGAAAACGCUCUCAAACCUCUUCUGAGAAGACUCAUCAGGGAGAAGUACAUAGAGGAUCUCCUAGGACCAGUAAAUCCAUCAAGGAUGCCAACAAAUCUCACCGAACAGCAUGAGGGAUUGAGAGAGAGAAGUAAAGGGGCAAAAGAGUUGAUAGAUUGGUUUAUUGAUGAUUGGAUACAUGCAAAAUCAAUUGGCCAUGAACCUCUCGUAUUUAUAGAGAAAGUGGUAUUAUACAAGUCGGCUAAGCCGACUUUCACAGGGCUGAGCAGGCCUCUUGCCCGUCUGGAAGGGGGGAGUCGACUUAGCAACUCUAGUUGUUGGCUAAGCCGACUGGCGCUGUUUGAGUCAGCUAAGCCGACUAGAGGUAGCUCGUCGUCUUUUCUAUGUGUUUUGUUCACUAGUUCGCCGUGUUGUUCGACCUCCAACAUGUCAUUUAUAGUGCCUAAAAUCAUCUCAGAACAUUUUUCGGCGUCAACAUAUGCCCUCUUGUUUUCAGGUGAAUGAUGCAUAAACCUAAAAACACUUAAUCAAACAAACCAAACAAUGGUGAUACUCACCUCAUCGGCUGCUCAACUGCUAAGGGUGAUGCAUAUAUCAGAUAUUUUUAUUCUAAGGGUGAUACAUGAAUCGGUCACUGUUCGGAGAGCACUUAGGCUUCUUGCUAAACACUUGGAAAGUACUUUUUCAAGUACCUCCCACUGAAUGCCCAUGUAAGAUGUUUACCAUGCUAUGUCUUUAGCAAAUAUGAAUUACACCAUCGUUGCCUCCUAUGUUGCUAUUAGAUUGAUUCUUGUUUCGCUUCGCCUUUCCCAAUAGAGUUGUCAAAAAGUAUAUUGACAUUGAAAGUGAUCCAAGCCAACACACCAUCAGGGUCUUGGAUGCCCAAAGAGAUUGCACACAACCUGUAACGCAGCAGCUAAAGACCAAUAAGAUCGAUGUAGAGCCCAUUCUUGGCCAAAAACACUCUUGAACCUCUCUCGAAAAGACAUGUUGGGGUGAAGCACAUGGAGGAUCACCUAGAACUAGUAAGGCCAUCUAGUAUGCCAAAAAAUAUCGCUGGGAAACUUGUUAAAUAGCAAUAGGGGUUGAGAGAGAAGUAAAGGGGCAAAAAGAGUUAAUAGAUUAGUUUUUCAAUGAUGGAUAGAUGAAAACUUAAUCGGCCAUGAACCUCUCAUAUUUAUAGAGGGGGUGGUCUUAUCCUAGUAGGAAAUAAGUCCAAAUCAUAAUUUCUAAGUUUCCCACAUAAGAAAAUUUACUUAAAACUGACCUUUAGAUGAAAUUGAGUCGGUUUCUAGACAUGAGUCGGCUAAGCCGAUUGGGGAAUCGGCUAAGCCGACUUUCAUGGGGCUGAGCAGGCCUCCUUACCAGCUAGAAGGGGGAGUCAGCUUAGCCGACUCUGGCGGUCGGUUAAGCCGACUAGCACUAUUUGAGUCAGCUAAACUAACUAGCUAGAGGUAGCUUGCCGUGGCUCACUGUCUUUUCCGCGUGUUUUGUUCGCCAUUUUGCCACAUUGUUCGACCUCCAACAUGUACAUAAUGUUUAUAACUUGUUCAUGGUGCCUAAAAUCAUCUCGGAACAUUUUUGGGUGUCAACAAUUCCUUGGCCAUGGAUGAGUGGUGGAGAGAGAGAGAGAGAGAGAGAGAGAGAGAGAGGUGCGGACGGGAUAUACCAAGAAGAGCGUCGAGAGAAGAAGGGAAGAUGGCACAAAAGAAAUAGAACGAACUGGUGUAUUGUUUUACUAGUGAUAGUGGUGGGUAAUUUUUUUUCCUAACUCCAUGAAUUCUAUUUUGGUGGAGCACCCUUUGAGAUCCACCAAAUUCGUGAAUCUAGCCCUUAUAUCCACCUUUUUGGUGAAUCAAGAUUUGAUGGAGCUAGAGUGUUUAGGUUACUUUUUGCAAGUGAAGUUGUUUUUGGUGGAUCUGAGCUGGUGGAGCUGUCCCGAACAAGCCCUAACUUGGCCUAGUGUUUAGAGAGCAUAGUGUGAUGAUGUAGGCUUGCUCCAAAUAAAUCUUAUUAUUGUUGCUUACAAGAGUCCUUCUACUGGGUGUUCCUGAGAUUUGUAGGAGAAAUGUACCAAGAAGUGAAGGUAGCCCUCUCAAGAUUUACUGCACUUGCAAGUCCUGUAAGGAAGAGAAAUUGGGAAUAAGCAUGUAUGCAAUCCUUGGUGUGGUUUUGUUCUUUUUUGACCUAGAAUUUCAUUGUUGACCUCACCAUAAACACUGAUCUCUAUCUGGAAGAAAAUGUCAACUACCUGUGCUUCAAUUCCUGUUUAAUAUACACUAGAUAUUUUGUUUAUUGAGUUUUGCAAGAAGCCCAUAUGGUUGGCCUAUUUUCAAAAUUGUUUUUCUAUGCCCUAGAACUUGUAAGUGUUAGUCUGUCAACUAUUUUGGUGAUAUAUAUAUUUUAGUUUCAAUGCUUAUUGCUCGUUCAAUCAAAUGACGAUUGCACGAACCUAUCUACUAUAUAUACAACUAGAAAAAGACUCAAAUAGACCUAUCUACCCGGUGGUGAAACUCCCUGUGACUGAUUUGAAACGGUCAACCAAGUGCCAAUUCCUCUUCCAGAUAAUUGGAAAUUGGAAAUUGGCAUCACGUGCUGACUAUUACUAGGAAACUAAACUUUCCAUGUUGCAGAGCUGAGGGGAUGACGCACUUCAUUGCUUUCCCUCACUUCACAUCCCUCUCUUCAGUUAGACCAAUCUUAAUGGGGGUUUCUAGAUAAUUUCAUGGGCAUUAAAUAUGCUAAUUAUCAUGACACUAUAUUAAUGAAGAGAGAAAGAGAGAUGAUGAAAGUUUCAUGGGGAUAAAAGUCAUCUGCACUAUUUCCAAAAUGUGAUUUCGUUGAUAACUAGGAUAUAAAACCUCCAUUGAGACUGGCCUUAUAAGUUGUUCUAAUCAUGCUUUAUUGUCCACUAAUCCACCACCAUCAUCGGGAAAUACUAUCAUGAGCUCUUCAUCCGUGAUGCCGACCGAGGUCGCAAGGUUAGUGAUCAUCUGGUCUGUAAUACUUUCUAAUCUAGUUAUUGUCUUAGGAUGAAAAUUUUAGGAGAUUUUAGUUCCCAUAAAACUACAAGGCUAUCUUAUAUGUAUCAUGGACAAAAUGUGCUAGAAAUAAAUAGUCUUAAUGAACACGAUUUUCACAAUAUGAACUAAGAUUGUCUCAAAUUCACAUCAAAACUUGAACUAUAUUCUAAUUACUCAUGUUUCACGAAAACACAUGUAAUAUUGCUGAUAGGCUACAAAUGAAAUAUUCGGAACAUCAUGCUCAAAUAUAUUGUUUUUGGUAGCAUACAACACGUGUUCAAACUUGCGGAUUAUCUUGGAAUUUGUUUUGGUGAUUUUUGAAGCUGCUGCGUGCUUUGACUGACGAGAGCAUCUCAAUGUUCUGUAAAUGAAGAUUUAAAAGAUGCAUAUGUAAUAGUAGUAUAUAAGACUGUCUCCAACAACUAAUGCAUCACAGCACCUAAACCCAAAACGCGCACUUGAUAGUCACUUUAUUAUCGGAAGAAAACGAGGUCCAACUGAAGACACAAAGGAUAGACCUGUUUUGGGUGGGUUGCAAUGGGGAACACAAAUAUAAGUUACGUUGCAUGCUUCUUCUCGCUCCACUUAUGCUGCUUAAAAUUGCUUUUGCCAUGCUUCAUUUGUUGUUGGAAAAGAGAACUUUUAGUUUUGUGACCUUUUGCCAUAGGGUGACCCAAAACAUUAAAUGGGUCUCCUGUUUAGGUUUAUGCUAUUGGAGAUAGUCUAACACGUGGAUCGCGAUGUACAAUUCAAAAUAUAAAAGAUUACUUUUGUUUUGUGAUUUGUAUGCAUUGUGAAUUUUUGUACAUAUGAGAUGUGAAUGUUCUACAUUUGUGAGAGGAUAGAAUCAAUAACUCAUACAAUUAAGUUUAUGAUUAGCACUAUAAAAUAUAUUUAUUAUGUAAAUAAAUAAAGAAUUAUAUAUUAUUUAAAUAAAGAACUUUGUCAAUGUUUCCCUACCGUUAAUGAACCAUAGGGAAAUCUAUUUUACAAGUUGGAUACAACACCGUGACCUUGCCCUCUCCUUCCUGGCCGCCGGCAAGCUCAAGAUGAGAGGAAAAGAUGCUGCAAGAGGAGGAGAAAGAAAAAGAAGAAGGCUGACAAGCAGGGUCCACUCGUAAGUGAGAUAGAGUGACCUUAACAACAUGGUUUUUGGCUUCUCUCAUAGCUUUUUAUGAAAAUGAGAAAGACGUACUCCGUAAAUCUUAACGAACUUAAUUGUUUGUUUUAUUUUUUUAUUAAUUUUAUCUUUUUUUAUUUUACUUUAGCAUUAGCACAGUAGCACGGGCUACUAGUGCUGCUGCUGCCAACAAGUGCAAAUCAUCCCGAUCCCUACAUUACGAAAUCAGGACCCAGCUCUGACCAGGGAUUAGGCCACGUCACCAGGAAAUUAUUGGUCGAUCCUGAUCGGGGCGUUUAACCUCAUGGCACUGGCAGAGCACAUCCAGAGCCUUCGUCCCACCGCUAUGAACCGCCGCCUCCCUCCGCGGUUCCGCCAGUCCUGGACACUAGCUAGGCAGGCCCGCUUGACUGCGUCGCCGCCGACGGCUCGCUGCCCCGCCGCCGGCCGAUUCGAAGAUGAGCCGCCAGCCGCCCAGGGACGCUCGGAGGAGCUGAUGGGAGCUACAUACGGCGCAGGGCUGCAGCUGUAGGGGGGCGGGAAUUCGGAGAGGGCGCUGGCGCACCGAGUGCGUCUCCUGCUCGAUCGCCGCCAGGCCGGCCGCUCGCUGGCCACCGUUUAAUUUGGUACUCGCCAGCCGAAGUGCGUCGACCGCGCCUGGGUAAUGCGGGAGUCUGAUGCACCGUUAGGGUUAAUUAGCAACUGAUGCACCGUUAGGUUAUCACGGGGAGGUAAGUUGGGCUGUUUACAAUUCGUAGGUCGUAUCCAAAAUUCGUAGUACGGCCCGGAUACGUACGUAUAUAUCCGGUAUAGUACAUCAGCGGCGUAUCGGUAUCCAGAACGUAUAGUAUCUUCUGCUAAACAAAAAGAACGUGUGUAGUAUCCGCGGACACGUCGAGAUCCUGCAGGUACCAUGUUAACCCACACAUGGUUUAUAUAUAUGAAAAAUUAUAAAAAUGAGAUACGUCGAGAACUCGAGAUCCUUAAUUACCGUCCUCUCUCUUGGAGUUUGAUUUGGUUAUUGUACUAUAAUGAGUUUGAUUUGGUUAUUAUACUAUAAUUAACUGUUUGUCUCACUGAUGUGCACUGGCACUGUGCACAUGGGUGGACGAGAGGAUCAUCAGCAUGGCUGUCAUCAAUGCCAAUGAGAUGCCAGGGCAUAAGAUCAGCGUGGCUGUAAUCAGCCAAUCUGAUUUUUUUUUAGAUAAUGGAAAAUUCUGGCUUCAGUCCUCUUCAAAGGAAAGGGAUCAGUCCAAAAUUAAACAAAUACAUCCACUUUAAACGCUUACAGCAGUUAUGCAAAUUAUUGUAAACAGAAUAUGCGAACAACUUCUGGCGUAGGAUUCCAAGACUCAGGGCUCAGGCACGCCUCAAGCAUCAAUCAUCCUUGAGCUAUUAGCUAUAAUUUAUAGAGACCGGAACCAGAACCAUUCAACUCAUGCGAAACAAAGGUUUCCCUGAACUAUGGAUCAAAUGGAUGAUGAUGAUUUUUAAUUCUGGUACCUCUGCAGCUCUACUCAACGGAGUACCAGGUAAAGUCUUCCACUGUAAACGAGGAGUCAGACAAGGAGAUCCUUUAUCGCCGCUCCUUUUUGUUCUUGCUGCAGAUUUCUUACAAAGUAUCCUCAAUGCAGCAAAACAUCAAAACUUAAUUACCUUGCCCCUCAACCUACCACAUGAUCAUGAUUUCCCAAUCCUUCAAUACGCGGAUGACACUCUAAUUUUUAUGGAAGCAGAUGCCAGGCAGUUAUUUUUCUUGAAAGCCAUUCUGAACUCCUUUGCUGAAUCAACAGGUCUGAAAGUAAAUUAUUCAAAAUCAAUGAUGGUCCAAUUAACGUUUCUGAUGAACGGCUUGAUAUCUUAGCCCAGACUUUUGGAUGUUCCAAGGGCUCGCUACCUUUUACAUAUCUUGGUCUACCUUUAAGCCUCACUAGACCAUCAGUGGCAGAUUACUGGCCCUUAGUCAGUAAGUGUGAAAGAAGAUUGUCAAGUGUUUCAUCCUUUCUUAAUGAAGCUGGCCGGCUGCAGAUCACAAAUGCAGUGCUUACUGCCUUACCCACCUAUGCCAUGUGUACUUUUCUUCUACCUAAGACGGUAAUCAAGCAAAUUGAUAAAUUCAGAAAACACUGCUUGUGGAGAGGUUCGGACAUGAACAGUAAAAAACCAGCAAAAGCUGCCUGGCCCCUUGUUUGUUUACCAAAAGAUAGUGGAGGCCUAGGAGCUUUGAAUCUUUAUAUCCAAAACGUUAGCCUCCUUCUGAAGCAACUCCAUAAAUUUUAUAACAAUCUGGAUAUCCCCUGGGUUCAGUUAAUCUGGAAUUGUUAUUAUCAGAAUGGUGAGCUACCCCAUCACAACAAUAAAGGUUCUUUCUGGUGGAAGGAUGUCCUCAAAUCCAUCACCUCAUACAAAGGUAUGGCCUCGGUCACAAUAUUGGAUGGAUACACUAGUUUCUUCUGGUCUGAUAUUUGGAAUGGAAGAUUAUUUAGCUCACAAUUCCCAGAAUUGUUCUCCUUUGCAAAAGAUAAGCACAUCUCAGUUCAAUCGUUCAUCUCUAUGCUGGCCAUAGAAGAGCCUGAUGAAUUGUUCCAUCUGCCCCUAUCCACCCAAGCAUAUGGACAGUUUCAGCAGCUCAAGUCAAUUAUCGCUAAUAUCACACUUCAGGCUGGAAAUGAUGUUUGGUCCUACAUUUGGAAUUCCAACAUCUUUACCUCAAGCAAAGCAUAUCUUAACCUAAUAGGCACAAGACAGGUGCACUCAGCUUUUAAGUGGUUAUGGAAAUCAAGUUGUCAACCAAAACGAAAGUUUUUCUUUUGGCUACUGCUACAAGACAGAUUGAGUACACGUGAAAUUUUAAAACGGAGGAAUAUGGAGCUACAAUGCUAUGAUUGUGUUCUUUGUCAUCUGGACACUGAAGAAAGCCUGAUGCACCUCUUCUUCUCAUGCCCCUUUUCCAUGAGCUGUUGGAACACUCUGGGCUUAGCUCCAAUGAUACUCGACGACCUCUUCCAGACCCUUUCAGCCUUCCGAAUGCAUCUGCAACAGCCUUUCUUCAUGGAGAUCAUCAUCAGUAUGUGCUGGGCUAUUUGGUCUGCAAGAAAUGACAAUAACUUUAGGGGUUUACAACACUCAAUACCCUCCUGUAAAGCCUCGUUCAGAAGGGAACUAACUCAGAUUAAGUUUAGAGUUAGAAAUAAUCUAAAAGCUCCUUUAACCCAAUGGAUAGAGCACUAUGUGUAAUCUUUAUGAUUUUUUUUCCUUUCUUUCUUUGUGUCCUGAGAGACACUCACAGAAUGUAAUGUACUGUCUCUGUUUUAUCAAUAAAAUUCCAGUAGGGGGCUUUCCCCUCCUGAUCUUUCAAAAAAAAGUAUGUCCCUCUGAGUAGAACAUGCAAAAACGUCUCGGGUGAUAUUUAUUAAACACUGUAUCAUUCUUUGUUAGGCCAGUCUCAGUGGAGGUUUCACCAGGAUGUCAUGCACAUUUAUUAGAGCAUCAUGUCAGCAAAACUGCACUUUUUGCAUGAAAAGAAGAGGAGAAAGAAGGAAGUAGUUUCACCAUGGUGAAACUCCGCUGGCGUUGUUUCCCACGUGGUGAAACAGGAUGAAAUCCCCACUGAGGACUAAAUCGUUUCACCAUCUUGCAUGUGAUCCAAUCAUUUUACAGUAAUUAAAUGUUUUGCUUAGCCUAGGAAACAUCAAGGUGAAACUCAUGCAUUGUGGAGGUUGUUUCAUUGUUCGUUUCAUUGAUGCUCUGUCAGCAGAUUUGUUUUGGAAACAGUGCAUUGAAACGAGCCAUUGAGACUGGCCUUAGCCAAAUUGUUGAACAAAGAGCAGCACCCCCGAUCAAUAAGGCCAAAUUAUGGUUUUUGUCUCCUAAACUUCGACCAACUGCCAAAAAAGAUGGUACAAAUGUUGGGACGGCUUAAUACCGAACACAACGUGGACCGCAUGCCAAAAAAACGGGCAUAAUGACAUUCAAAGAAUAAAUGCUGGAUUGUUUCAUUUUUAUCACAAAAGCAGCAAACUCUACUACCAUUCCAGUUCAGUGAAAAUCACUUCCCCUAAUAAAUACCAGUACCACAUGAAGAUUUUUAUCUUUAGAGAGGAACUUUUUAUGAGAUUUUAUGCACAAAGUGUCAAAGUCAGUGGCCAAUAGAACUGGUAAAUUGGUGACAAAUUAAAGUCAUCAGUGACAAUAAAAUGGGUCAGUUGCCUCCUUUCAGUGUCAGCCAAAAAACAGCGGAACUUGUCAAUAUACUCAAGCUACUUCAGGUACUAUAGAGUUCAAACAUCUAACCCAUUUGCAUUGGUAAGCGCACACUACAUAAUAGCUAACUUGGCCUAUUGUUAAGAGAGCAUAGUUUGUAACAUGUCCGAUGACAAGUCCCCAAGCAGGGGGCAAUGGGCAAGCCACGGCCCAUGAGAGGGGCGCGUGCCCAGGCACGACGGCGUCGCCUCUAUGUCUUCCUUCCCCCGGAAGAAAUUAGAAGGAAUAAAUAGAAAUAGAAAGUAAAUUAAUAGAUUAGAGUUUGAUUUGGUCAUUGUACUGAUGUGCACGGGCGGUAUGCACAUGCAUGGGAAAUUGGGAAGAUCAGCAUUGGCUGUCAUUGUACUAAUUAGCCGUUUGAUAAGAUCGCAAGGGAGAAGUACUCCCCCUGUCAGGGACAACAAAAAAAUUGUUGUUCAGUUACAGGUAAUAAGAGUUUUAAUAAUUUAAUAAGGAUACUGCAGGUAAGAGUUUUAAUAAGGAUUACAUCAUUGGCUACUACGUACGGGACACCUCUUCGGUAGUAGCCUGUACUUCCACACGGUCGGCCGCGCGGUUGCAGGCGGCAUGCCAUUGAACACAACAUCAUUUCGAUGCUUCCAUAUCAUCCAGCAAACAAGUUGCAAGAACAAGAAGGCGUCGGAGUGCUGGUCAGUAAUCGUUGUUGGCCUUCUCAUAGGCCUUGUUUAGUUCCAAAAAAAUUUGCAAAAUUUUUCAGAUUCUCCGUCACAUCGAAUCUUUAGACACAUGCAUGAAUUACUAAAUAUAGACAAAAAUAAAAACUAAUUACACAGUUUGGUCGGAAUUGACGAGACAAAUCUUUUGAGCCUAGUUAGUCUAUGAUUGGACAAUAUUUGUCAAAUACAAACGAAAAAGCUACAGUGUCCAUUUUGCAAAAUAUUUUGGAACUAAACAAGGCCAUAGUCCAGAUCGAGCGAACAUGAGCAUUCUCAUAUCCAAAGUAAGGAUGGGAUAGUCCUAUACUCUCAUAUUUUUUUUCAUUUAAUUCAUUUAGUACAAUAAAAAAGAACUGUAAAUACCGGUUUGGAGCGUCAUCCCCAUCUUUAAUCCAAAACCAAGGCGAGCCCACACUUGGCAAAACGGGCAUCGGAGGAUUAGGUGGUCUGUAGAUGGGGCAGGCAUAUGUGGGCCUUGUUUAGUUCCGAAAAGAUUUCGGAUUUCGGUACCGUAGCAUUUUCGUUUUUAUUUGAUAAAUAUUAUUCAUUCAUGUACUAACUAGGCUCAAAAUAUUCAUCUCGUGAUUUACAGUCAAACUGUGUGAUAAGUUUUUGUUUUUGUCUAUAUUUAAUGCUUCAUGCAUAUGCCGUAAGAUUCGAUGUGACAGGGAAUCUUGAAAACUUUUUGGAUUUCGGAGUGAACUAAACAAGGCCAUGGUCCUCCAAGAUGCUCUUCUUCAAGUUCAUCAGGCCGUGUUUAGUUCGUGAACCGAAAAAUUUCGGAACACUGUAGCACUUUCGUUUGUUUGUGGUAAUUAUUGUUCAACCAUGAACUAACUAGGCUUAAAAGAUUCAUCUCGUAAAUUUCGACUAAACUGUGCAAUUAGUUUUUAUUUUUGUCUAUAUUUAGUACUCCAUGCAUGCGUCUAAAGAUUCGAUGUGAUAGAAAAUCUUGAAAAAUUUUGGGUUUUUGGGUGGAAGUAAACGAGGCCUCAUUCGCUCUUUGCACAAGAAGCAAACAGAAAAACUGUACUUUUGGAGGUGCACGAUUGCACCACACGAACUUGUACAAGUCUGGCCUUGUUUAGAUACAUCCAAAAAUCCAAAACUUUACAAGAUUCCCCAUCACAUCGAAUCUUACGACACAUGCAUGGAAUAUUAAAUAUAGAUAAAAAAGAUAACUAAUUACACAGUUUACCUGUAAAUCACGAGACGAAUCUUUUAAGCCUAGUUGCUCUAUAAUUAGAUAAUGUUUGUCAAAUAAAAACGAAAGUGCUACAGUGUCAAAAUCUAAAAAGUUUUUGGAUCUAAACAAGGCCCGCGGAUUUGUUAUGAAAAUCUAUGGGCUUGCAUAAAUGCGUAUAUAAGGCUAGUCUCAAUGCAUAUUUCAUGAGAGUGUCGUGCACAUUAAAUAAGGUGCUAUAUAAGUAAAAUUGCUAAUUUGGCAGAGUCAUCAUGCAUGUUUCAUGAGAGUGUCAUGCACAUUAAAUAGGGUGUCACAUAAGCAAAAUUGUUGAUUUGGCAGGGUCAUUAAAUGAAGGAGUUUCAUCCCCAUGAAACUCAUGUCGCUCGAUUACCUAGUUUAUAGUCUUGGUAACUGUGCUAUGAGACUAUGCAUUGAGAUUGGUCUAAAUGAAGGAGUUUCAUCAGAUGAGAGGGGAGUUUCAUCCCCAUGAAACUCAUAUGGCUUGGUUACCUAGUGGUAACUGUACCAUGAAACUAUGCAUUGAGACUGACCUAAAUUUACAUAAGAUUUAUGGGUUCACAUUAAAAGCCGAUCCUAGAGUUAGAAUCUCACAUUUACAUUAUAAAAUUUUAACUAAAAUAUAUUGCAGAUGAUUUAAUGCAACAAGGAACUACUUCUUACCAAUUAACAUGGGGGUCCCAUAUCUAAGCCGGACCAUAGAAAUAAAAGCUCCCGUUCGUGCCAUAAAAUUUAAUUGAAUUGACUGUAAUUUCUUAAAUAGAACUCAAAUGUCAUGAAGAUAAAUCUGUGCAAGUUAGCACAACAAGCAUAUGGAAAGCUAGAUCUCAGAAAUAAAAGCGCAUGUUCAUGCCUUAAAAUUUUAUCAAAAUUGAUUGAAAUUUAUUAAAUAUGAUUUAAAAUGUCAAGAAGUUAAUCUAUGUAAAAGCAAGGAACCCAAUCUCCAUGUAAAAUCUACAUGUGAGACUCACAUCAAAAGCUAGCUGAACCCAUUUCAAAUCAAAUAUAUGUAAAAAGAACCCAAUCUCCAUCCAUCCAACUCAAUUUUGUAUUAAACCCAACCCAACCCGCUAAGUAAAUCAACUUAUUCCUAUUCAUUCAAUAUGUACCCAUUUAUCCUUAAAAAAAGGACGAGGAUAACCCAGUCGUGCACGGGGCGUAGUGUGCGACCCCACACAUAUGACUCAGACACGCAGCUGUCCCAGCCUCGUCACAACUUAGACACAGCCAGACUCAUUUUCAACGGAAAAGUAAAAUAUUUUCUUUAAAAAGCUAUAACUUUUGAAUAUCGCAUCCAGUUUUAAUUUAGUUUACACAUAUAUGUUCUUCGUGACGAGACAAACAAAACUAGACCGUGCUGCAUAUGUUUCGAAGAAUUUUAUUUUAGUAGCAAUUUAUGUCUAAUAUAUGCUAGGAGAUUUAUCAAAAAGUUACUACCUUUGAAUACUAAAGUUGCUACUCAAAAAAAUAUACAAGUUAUUACAAUAGUAUACACAAAGCUAGGGGAAAAAUCAAAAGGAGUUAAUACUAUGUAAUACUAAAGUUGCUACUCCAAAAAUAUAUUAAAGUUGUUACAUAGUAUACACAUUAAUUAUAAUAACAAGACCUCCACUUGACUAUGUUUCGAAGCAAUUUUAAUUUAAUACCAAUAUAUGUGUAAAAAUAUACUAGGAGAUCUAUAAAACAAGAUGCUAUCAUAUACUCCCUCUAUCUAUUUAUCGGAGUCAUUUUAGGGCAUGCGCAGUGACAAAAGGAGAAAUUAAUUCGGCUAGUAAAAGGAGUUGCAUGCAAACGGUUGAAUUAAUUAGACCAGUGAGAGAAGCCGCAUGUGCUUGGUAAAAGGUGAAAAUAAUAGUCCCUAGCUUAUAUGACUCAGUUUUGAAGAAUUUUUUUCGAUAAGAUGACUCUGAUAAAUGGAUGGAGAGGGUAAUAUUAAACUUGCUACUCAAAAAUAAACUAAUUUUUUUAUGGUCGACUGUUAUUAUGGGAAUAUGAUAAAUUUAUUAUAUAGUAUUUAUAUUGAUAUAAAGGUACUAACACGCAAAAGAGAGUAACGGACCAAAAUAAGACAAACUGCAACCUAGAGGGACAAACUAUUAAUAAAUAUUAUAUAAACUGCCAAUUAGAGGGAUAAGUUCUUAUAAAACACAUUAGAAAAGCCAGGAACAUCUGAUUUGCUGCCAAUUGAGGGCAUUUCUUAAAAAAAAAAGAGGGUAGCAAAAUAAAACACUUGCCGCCAACUGGGGGCAUUUUUUAAAAAAUGAGGCUAGCAAUAUAAAACAAGACAAACUGCAACCUUGGGGCAAGUUAUUAGAACAAACGUAGCAUAUAUAAGGCCUUGUUUAGAUGCACCCAAAAACUCAAAACUUUACAAGAUUCUCUAUCACAUCGAAUCUUGCGGCACAUGCAUGAAACAUUAAAUAUAGAUAAAAAAAGAUAACCAAUUGCACAGUUUAUCUGUAAAUCACAAGACAGAUCUUUUAAGCCUAGUUACUUCAUGAUUGGACAAUGUUUGUCAAAUAAAAAUGAAAGUGCUACAGUAUCAAAAUCCAAAAAGUUUUUAGAUCUAAACAAGGCAUAAGCUGCCAACUAGAGGGAUAAGAUAUUAUAAAUCCACUAUAUAAGCCGAAAAACAUGACUAGCUAAAAUUUAAGGGGCAUUUAUUACAAAGAAAAGAGUAGCACCCAAAAUAAGAUAAGCCCGAGAGGCAAAGUAUUAGAAGAAGCAUUGCAUAAUAAGGUAUCAAUUUAGAGGAUAAGUUAUUAUAAUAAUAUGUAGGAUUUAGGAAUGCAUUUGAAUCUAAAGGAGAUUGAAAACUGAAACUAAAAACAUAUUAAAAAAUAAUAAGACUGAAAACUAAAACAAAAAAGUGAGAAAAAACUUUAAUGCAAACUGAAUCUGGGGAGUGAAUUCUUUUGUGGUAACUUAUGUACGUAAUGGCUAGUGACAUAGCUCAACUUCACUAAUAAUAAGCUGUUUUUUAAAAAAUAGUUUUAUGAGCAAUUUUAUAGGUGAAGUUGAGCUAUUUUGGAAAAAGUGUUUAGUAAAAUAGCUUCACCAACUACUUUAUACAUAGAUGAGAGAGAGAAAUGAGGAAGAGGGCUACAAUAAGCUACUUUUUCAGCUUUCUCCUAACUUAUGUCUUUGUGAGAGAAGAAAAACAGUUUCACCUAUGAAGCUGUUUUAAAAAUAAGUGUUUGGCAAAAAAAAAGAAGCUGUUGUGAGUUAUACCAAACAGAUCUUAUAUACUUAUACGUGAGACAACUAAUAUACGUGAAAGACAUUCGGACCUAAAAGGGAGACAAGUGAGACAAGUGUCUCAAAUGGUUUCAAUGCUACUCCUCUCAAAAAGGGAUGUGGCCCAACUAUGUAUUACUUAUGUAUGUCUCACGGAACGACCCUUCUUGGCUAUAAAAGUUUGUAGCUAUCCAAUUUCUCUAAUACUUUUUUGAGCAUUGAUGCCCUCAGUGAAAUAAUUCUUGUAUUGCUGACAGUGGUCGUCAAUUGCUUGAAUUUUAAAAUCUGACCUCUACAAAAUGCAGAGAUGGGAAUGAUGCGAAGGCAUUAGAGAGGUUCAGGUGAAUUUUGGGAUCAAAACCAGAGAGUAAUGAGCCUUACAUUGCCAGCUACAAUGUUACAACUCAGAGUCCGAAUAUGAGUAUUUCUUUGUGCACAUACAAGCUAACCUUUGUGCCUCUAGGAUGCCCUGAGCGCAGGAUAAUGUGCUUAGAUACAACAGUUAGUUGGAUCCUUACAAGAUAUAUAUAUAUAUAUAUGUAACUGAUUUUGGUUUGCUUACUUUUUAUCUUGACCGUGCCACGAGGUACGUUAAGAGGAGGUAGAGUUUUUUAAAAAUUACAUCAACGGUAAUCCAAGGGUUACCACACUUGAAGAAUUUGUAGAGAAGAAAUAACCUUCGCGUCUUUUUAGUUGAUAAAAACAAAACAGUAAUAUCAUUCUAAUUAAUUACAGAAACCUAAUGCAGCUAGGCACAUACAGUCAUGUGCAGGAGAUGGACUGCUUUGGCUUUCUCAGCUAGAUUUGCAUGUAUCUUCUUCUGUGCUCUGCCUAUACAACCUGCUGAAAUUCUAGCCAAUCCACGCAUUAUAAACUGAAUUUAAUCGAUUUCAAGUGAUCAUGUCAAGAUCUCAUUCUUAACUCGACACACAGUACACACGUUUGUGUUGUUCAAUCAAAAAAAAGUACACACGUUUGUGUUAUACCCUACGAAGAACAAUAAUCUAUAUAUCUACGUCCAAUGCAAAGUCUUUAAAACUCACGCCUGCACGUCCUACCCGAUUCAAUAUGAAGACCAAAACAACAUGUUUGCAUCUAAUACAAAGUUCUCAUAGUUCAUACGUUCAUGUCCAGUUAAGGUUAAACCAUAUAGAAACAUCUAUAUACUAUCAUGACAGCAUCUACCACAAACGUAUCUAAUCAACACAUCAGAAACACAAACACGUCAACCUAUCAACCUAUGACAUUACAUUAACCACUUUGCAAUGCCAAGUUUGACACGUAAGGCCUUUUUUACACAUAUGUCACCGGCCGUCUCACUAGAAAGAAACAUUGGUUAUCAACUGUACUUUUUCUUCCAGCCAGUAAUAUUUUUCUCUCACAAUAAAUUAGCCAACAGUCAUUUCAAUCAUGACUUUUCAGACCAGCGAACAAGUCUGUCAACAUUCUAUUUUAAGGAAAAAUAUGCAAAAUUGAAAAGAAUUGAACAUCAUCACAAAGUGAUUAUACAAUGUCAUGCGCCCAAAACUACAAUCAGUUAAUGAGAAAUUAAAAUAAUCAAUGACAUAAAUUUAACUAGACAAUUCGACCUCUGUUCCUGCUACCGUCCUACUCCAGCGUCUCUUGCCUCGACGAUGAGUUCCCGCAGCGCCCGGCGAGACUCGUCGACAUGGCGUCGCGUGACGAAUGGGUGUGCGAGCAGCUGCGCCACCGUGGCGCGCCGCCUCGGGUCCUUCUGCAGGCACGCUGCCACGAACCCGCGAAGCUCAGGCGAUGCCGACGCCGCCGCACGCUCUGGCGCAGACGGCGGCUCCCCGUCGCAGAUCGCCUGCCUCAGCUUCUCGAACGACGGCCUCACCCCACCUGGGGGCAGAAAAGGGCACCGCCCCAAGAAGAGCUCCAGGACCGUGACGCCGAAGGCCCAGACGUCGGCGGCGAUGGCGCCGCGCGGCUCGGCGUGGGCAUCAGGCUCGAACCGCUCGGGGCUCAAGUACAUGGGGGAGCCAACGGCGACGGAGACCUUGCGGCGCGCGUCGGUGCGGCCGAAUAGGAUCCUGGACACGCUGAAAUCGCCGAUCUUGAUGUCGCCCCGGCAGUUGGCGAGAAGGUUGUCAGGCCUCAAGUCGAGGUGCGCGACGCCGCGGGAGUGGACGUGCGCGGCCACCUCGGCGAGGGCGCAUUCGGGGAUCCCGCGCCCUCCCCGGCGGCCAACGAUGCCGGCGAGCGUCCCGGCGUCCAUGAGCUCGAGCACGUAGGCGGGCUCGCCGCCGGCGCCGCUGAGAACCGCGUGGCAGCGCACGACGUGCGGCGACCCGGCAGAUCGGCGGAGCGCCUCGGCUUCCUCGUCCGCAGCUCUGCUGGGGCGGGCGUAGUGGGCCGUCUUGAGCGCGAACUCGGUGCCGGUGCCACGGUGGCGCACCUUGGUGACCACUCCGCAGGCGCCCUCGCCGAGGUGGCAGACCUGCUCCAGGUCCGACAGCCGCAGGUCCAGGUCGUCCGCGGGCAGCGCCAGCGCCUGCUUCAUCAGCUCGUGGGGAGCGGCAGCGGCAGGGAUCCGGUGGAAGAACUGGUGCGGCGCGACGGGCAACGCCGGGCAAGUCAUCGGGCGCCGGGAGGAGACGGCAGCGCCAGCGCCGCUGCUCUCCAGCGGGACGUCCGCCGCCGCCACAACCAUGCCUGAGGUUUUCAAUCCCAAUGCUGCGUAGUACUAUAAGGUACGGUGAGAAAGUGCGGGAGGCCUGGAUUUAUAGCGCGAGUCGGAAUCGGGGCAGGACUCACCGUGACCGAAUUGGCGGCAAGUCUUGAGCCCCCAGCUGGCUGAAUUGCGGACAGCAGGGAGGUCCUACGAGUCACCCAGUAGGACAAGCGUGACUUGAAGUAGCAACCAAGUAAAAAGGAAUGGAGAGGUACGAUCAGUCAAACGUACUGACUCUACCGUAUAAUACAGUGUAUUCUAGUAUUUAAUAUAUAUAUAUAUAUAUUCUUAAAUAUAAUGUAUUUUAAAGGACAAAAAUCAAUUUUAUAUUAAUUAUUAUCAAUUUAUAAAUCAAUCACAUUAAUAAUAACAUCUGAUUAAAAAUAAAAUAAGAAUACACAUGCGUCCUAAAAUUCCUAAAUUUCCUGUAAUGGCAGUGACUCGUUUCGGUCCAACUAAGGUCUUGUUUAGAUCCAAAAACUUUUUGAAUUUUGACACUGUAGCACUUUCGUUUUUAUUUGACAAACAUUGUCCAAUCAUAGAGUAACUAGGCUUAAAAGUUUCGUCUCGUGAUUUACAGGUAAACUGUGCAAUUAGUUAUUUUUUUAUCUAUAUUUAAUAUUCUAUGCAUGUGCCACAAGAUUCGAUGUGAUGGGGAAUCUUGUAAAGUUUUGGGUUUUUUGUGCAUCUAAACAAGGCCUUAGUUCCCCAAAAAAUUGUCAUCGAAUCUUUAGACGUAUGCAUGGAGUAUUAAAUAUAGACGAAAAUAAAAAAUAAUUGCACAGUUUGGUCGGAAUUGACGAGACGAAUCUUUUGAGCCUAGUUAGUCUAUGAUUGGACAAUAUUUAUCAAAUACAAACGAAAGUGCUACAGUGUCGAUUUUUCAAAAAAAUUUGAAACUAAACAAGACCUAACUAUUAAAAAGCCAGCUAAUAAUAGCUUAGUGAAAGGGGGAGAUGA
RNAcentral lists this long non-coding RNA (39173 nucleotides) under Sorghum bicolor (sorghum). Its description in RNAcentral is "long non-coding RNA (SBIC_LNC005527)". Lineage: Eukaryota; Viridiplantae; Streptophyta; Magnoliopsida; Poales; Poaceae. The record is from RNAcentral.